This 1753-nucleotide long non-coding RNA is filed under the name Mytilus galloprovincialis (Mediterranean mussel). The record is from RNAcentral. Lineage: Eukaryota; Metazoa; Mollusca; Bivalvia; Mytilida; Mytilidae.
AACAUUGAAAUGAUGUAUGUUGAUGUUUAAAAGGUUGAUUUGAAUGUUUUAAUUUACUACAAAUUUCAGAAAUUUGAGAUUUUUUUUUUACAAUUUUGACAGAAUAUUAUACAAUUAAAUGUUUAAUUAAAGUUUUUUUAUGACAUGAACUCCCCUAAUGUUCAUUUAACUUACAAAUAUAGAAAAAUGAUAAUUAUGUUUUAUAUUUGAGUUAUAUUUCACAGUUGAAACAUAACGAGAUUUAUAGAAUAUACUAAUUUCUCCAUAUCUUGGGGUAUCGUAAAUUAAAACAUUUAAUGAGUUUUCUGACAUGUCUGAAUGCAUGAAUUUUGCUGAAAAUAUGUCAUAGUUAUAUAAAAGUACAUGCAAGACUUGUACGAAUUGAAGAUCUUUUCUGGUAGUAUUACACAUUCUAGUAUGUUUCUUUUACUCGGUAUAUAAAUACAUGACUGUCCUUGACAUGGGACAAUAUCCUUAUGCAACUUUUUCUAAAGAGUCAUUUAACUGAAUUCUGGUUAAAAACCAUCUAAAUUUUCCAUGCAUAAAAAGGGCAUAUCAUGUGUAUAUUUCAGAAAAUGAUACAAAUUUGAAAUUGUUGUAUUUGGUCUAAAUCUAUAAGUGGAAUGACUAUGAAUGAAGACUACAAGUUAAAAGUCUUGAAAUAAUUUUGUAAUUUCAUAUAGGAGCAGACAAAAAAAAACACAUAAGAGCCUGUUUUAGUGAACAUGGCUGCAAUGAAUGGAUACAAUUUAUACAUGCUUCUUUCAUAUAAUCAUUUUUAUUCAUUUUUCAUCCUUUUUUAUUGUGUUGCAAUAAUGUUAUGCUUUCUGUUUUACACAAUAACUCCAUGACAUGUUUCACAUAAUAUCUCCAUGACUUCAUAUUGGCAUAAUAACACAUCAAUUGGGUAUAGCAUGUGCAAUAAACAUAACAUCAUUCUCAUCAUGUUACUCUUAUUAUUAUGUAGUUUUUACUGUAUGUAUGAAUUGAUUAUCCUCAUGAAAUUGGUAUCUGUUAAAGUUUGAUCUCAUUUUAUACAUUCUAGAUCGACAAGUUGAUUUAAAAAUCCAUCUUUAUUAUGCAUUAUUUGGGAUAAGGGUUGUAAUCUUUUCAUUUGCAUUCUUGCAAGAGUUAUGCAAAAUGCAUUAUGGUUAUGAAGGUGUACCUAUUUGAUUUUUCUAUGGAUAAAAUGACAGAUUAAAAAAAAAAUUGAUUUUCAGCACUUAUUGAAAAAAUGUCUAAAUGUUAUGUCCUUUUUUUUUACCUUUGCAAAUUAAAUUUUACUUUCAUUUAUAAAUGUCAUUUAAAUGAAUUUAAUUAUUUUUUAUGCAAAAAUAUUUAUACAAUAAUAAAACAUUGAAAAGGUAAAUGAGUCAAAAGAGGCUCAAUGUUUUGAUCUUGAGAUGCAGUGGUCACUGGUAUAUGGGUGUGUAAUAAAACAAUUACCUCAAAUAUCAAUUUUUCAUAACAAAAUAUUGAGUUGUCUCCCAUAUAAAUUAUAAGUGAUGUCCAACAAUUUCUUGGAAUAUAAUAUUACUUAAAAUAGGUCAAAUUAUCUGGAUCUGAAAUGUGAGAAGAGUAUUACUGAAAUGAAAUAGAAAGUAUUUUUGUGAGAUUAUUUAUAUCAUUGUUAGUUAUUUGUGUUUAAAAUUGUUGAAUUUUCAUAGUUAUGAGAAAUAGGUGCUAUUACAUAAUAUGUUAAUUACAUUCCUUGAUCUUUUGAAUUUAUCUGUGAUUUCCCCCCAGAAAUUCU